UUUCUGCAUCUAUAAAAAAACAUUGGUGGCAAAUGUUUUCCUUUGAAUUAUGGCAUGGAUAAAAAAAAUAAUAUCCAAUACAACAUAUAACGUUAAUAAUAUCUUAGGCUCUUCACUGAGUUUUCUUCAUGAUUACAGUAAAGACCCACCGGGACGAGCUGCCUUCUUCCUCCGAGAGCACACCUCCUCCCAGAUGCUACGAGAAUAGCAAGGGGAUACAUGUUACAUUGCCAGCAAGCAGAAGGUCCUUUGCAAGAGGUCAGCGGUGGGACUUUGCGAGCACCGCCUCUUCAGACCCCGGCGGCAUCAGCCAGCAGGCGGCGCGUUUCCCCGCCCGGAAAUCCGUCUGCUCCCGCGGAGGCCCAGCUGCCGCAGGCUGCGACUCCUCUCCCGGUGUGUGCACAGGGUGCCCGGCCCCUGGGGUUUAGGGGAGAAAGGCGAAGGCUGCUUGGGGGCACUCCGAGGGAAGGGGACCUGGGGAAAAAAAAACAAAAAACAAAAAACAAGAAGCCAAGAACCUCGCCAAAGGACGGCCCGGGGAAAUAUGGGGAGGGGGUUGAGGAGACGCGGGUAGGUGGAUACGAGCUUCUGAAGGACGGCUUUUAGAGACGGUGGUCUUGGCCUGAGAUUUCUUAGGCACUUCUUAGCCCAGGGGGUCCUGAGAGUAUGGAAGUGAGAAAAGGAGUCUUGUGUCUGGAGAGACGCGGCCAGUGGCUGGGAAGAUUCCGGAGUCCGAGGGUUGUGGGGGCGGGGUGGGGGUGGGGGUCGGGAGAGGAAAUGCGUUAAAAGAAAAAAAAAAAAAGUUAUGUGUUACUUACUGGAAGUGAAUUCGUUAAAAUAGGAGACAGAAGUCAGAUUACAGUAGGAUGACUAGAGAAUAGGUAUAAUUGGGAACAGGAAAUACAAAUUACUUUUUCUCAGUGCGUGGCCAAGUUCGGGAUAGGAUGGUUACGAGGUUAGAAAUGGGACAAUCACCAGAUCAGAAAGUAGGGGUGACACUUAAGGGGACGGCCUUAAUUUUGCCUAAACAUCAUGGGGCGGAAAGUGGUAGUGAUCCCCUGUAUCUGAAUUCUCUUCUUCCUUGCAACACCAUUGCCCUACUUUUCCCCUACCGUUAUCCUUGUGGGGCCACAUGACUGAUCAGCGAAAUUUGGGCAGGAAUUAUGCACACGCGAGCUCUAAAAUCUCUUAGGGAAUAUUCUGUAUUUUUAUUUUUUAAAGAUUAAAUGAAUUGGUGAAAUAGUGGAGCACAGGAUGGAAAAAGCCUGGUGUCUUAACCACUGUGGAAGCUCAUCUACUGACACGGUACUGUGACGUGACUGUCUUCAAAUUUAAUUUCUGUUUCUUUAAGCCUGUGGAUAUUUGCUUUGCAAUAUUUCAGGUUGCGGCAGUUUUCACAACCAGAGCUUCUGAACUCUUUGAAGGAUUUUAAUAAGU
RNAcentral lists this long non-coding RNA (1437 nucleotides) under Felis catus (domestic cat). RNAcentral describes it as "lncRNA (ENSFCAG00000042265.2)". The record is from RNAcentral. Lineage: Eukaryota; Metazoa; Chordata; Mammalia; Carnivora; Felidae.